CUUUUUCAUCUUGCCGAUUUUAUUUAUUUAUUUAUUUUUUAUACAAUGGAUUGUUUUACAGUCGGAUUCUUUCCCCAUUUUUACACGCAAUCACCCUCCCCCCCUUCCAUUCCGUCUGGCUCCAUUUUCCACUACUGCACCACCAUACCCAGAAUCCGCCACUCGUUACCAUAAUCAUCGUUUUGUAGGGCAAAGCUCUAACUUUAAAUUUAAAAAAAUGUUAUCUUUCUUGCAUCUUCUUGACCUGAGUUUAAGCUCGCAGAAGAGGGCAAAACCUUACCUUCUUCUCACUUGAUUUAUUGUGGAGCUAGAUAGUUUGCUCUGGUAUCAUGGCUUUCUUAGUUGAGAUCUCGGAAGAAAAGCACCAAUUUUCGCCAAAGGUGUUCUCCGGUCGACGACUUUCAGCCAAAUGUGGCUGUCCUAUUCCUCGAAAACUACACUCUCCCUUCAAAAUCAGGUGCUUCUUUGGAAUUCCGUUAAUUCGAUGAUUUUCUUAAACAAUUUGAAGAUAAUUUUGCAGUAACCGAUUUUGUUUCGAUUACAAAUUUGAUGUGUGUUUGUGGUGGGUUCAACGAUAGAGGAUGUUUUCAAAUCUGUUGAAAGUUUUACUCAAUUUAAGGAGUUCAGGAGUGUGGCUUGUGGCGUUCUUGCUGUUUGGGUUUUGACUGCUGCCUCGCCUAUAAAUGCAGCUGAUCAAAUCAAAAUUUAACAGCCUUUUCUUAGUUAAGUUUUGCAAUUAAGUUUUGCAUUUUUAUUGUGAUUUACCAUUGAUAGAAAAAUGCUUGGGAAUAAAAUUAAUACUUGAGGUAAUUUCUUGUCAUUACUGACCAUUAAUAUUGAAAUUCUUGUUUCACAAAUGAUCUAGCUACAACAACAAACAUUUAAAUGUGUAUUAGGAUUUAUUUUUGUUUGAGAGUUAAUCUAUUGCGACUCUCUUCCUGUAUCCUUAACGUUGUUCUGGGACGAUUUAUGUAAAAUAUGGGCUGAGUUUCUGAAAUGAUAUGCCAUUUGAGAUAAGAAGUGGUGGAAUUAAUUGAAAUGUGUAGGAGUUUGAUUUGCAGAGGCUACCGCCUGUCAAGAGAUAUGAUGGAAGCAGAGUAAUGUUGAGAAGCACCUCCUUCGGAAAAGUUUCACAGAUUAGUAGAUGCCUGGCAUUCCCUAGAAUUACAAUGGUAGUUGCAAUUAUUAAUAAGGACUUCUUGUUUCCACCUGCUUCCGUAUCCUUUUACUCUUUAUGAAAAAUGUAAAAAUUGGCACUUUGAUUCAUCUCAUUUAUAGAUUCAUAUGCUUUAGGUAGAGGGCAUUUUUCUGGUGUUCUUCCAAUCACAACUGCCAAGGUGCCUAUUCUGAAAGUCGAUGAUUGCGGAACUGGUGUUGAAUAUGAUAUAUUAGUUGAAAAUGGGGAUCGAAUCUUGAAAUCCUAGAUGAUUAUUUUGAGAGGUUUAAAAAGCUAAGCUUCUUAGUAUCUUAUGCAUCUAUAUAUUUUGUCAUUCAACUUUUCAGCUUCAUUUGUCCAGGUUCUAUUUCAUCCUCCUUAUGCAUCUAUAUAUUUUGUCAUUCAACUUUUCAGCUUCAUUUGUCCAGGUUCUAUUUCAUCCUCUUAGUCCAACAUAGAAUUGUUUGAUGGUGCUUUUAUCUUUUGAUUAAUUUGAAGCAUUUGAUCAUUCUGUUUACAAUAAGUUUAAUAAUUCUAUUUCGAAUAUAAUGUUCCGAUUGAAAUGUUUGCAGUGCACUUAUUAUUUAAUAUCUUUUGCAUUUGGUUAUAAACAUUUAGAUUCUGUGUUAUAAGUCAUCACCUUAUGAUUCUUGCUUAAUCUACAAGACUGACCUAUUGUUGUGGCAAAUCCAACCAAAGGUAAUGGGCAUGCCCUUGUACAAUGCUCAAGUUUCUCAGCUGGUACAUUCAAAAGUGAGCUGCCAUUCUUGGGAGCAUAGGUUACACAAUAAUUUGGAAAAUGGAGAGAGCCAAUUUCGUCCAUGGGAUAUUGCAGUAUUCAUUAGUUGGCUUUGAGAAAGCCUCAAUUACUUAUAAAUGUUCGUUGGAAUUUAGAUGAAGAGAAAAAUUGGAACACAAUGAUCCAAGACUAUCUUUGGGAAAAAGUAUCAAGUUUGCAUGAUAUGCUAUCCACUCCAGUGUGGUUUCUAAUUGUAGAG
RNAcentral lists this long non-coding RNA (2154 nucleotides) under Olea europaea subsp. europaea. Lineage: Eukaryota; Viridiplantae; Streptophyta; Magnoliopsida; Lamiales; Oleaceae. The record is from RNAcentral.